This 467-nucleotide ribosomal RNA is filed under the name uncultured bacterium. RNAcentral describes it as "partial 16S ribosomal RNA". It matches the Rfam family "Bacterial small subunit ribosomal RNA", at positions 28 to 507 of the family's 1533-position model. The record is from RNAcentral.
GACGAACGCUGGCGGCGUGCUUAACACAUGCAAGUCGAACGGAAAGGCCUCUUUCGGGGGGUACUCGAGUGGCGAACGGGUGAGUAACACGUGAGUAACCUGCCCUUGACUUUGGGAUAACUUCAGGAAACUGGGGCUAAUACCGGAUAGGAGCUCCUGCUGCAUGGUGGGGGUUGGAAAGUUUCGGCGGUUGGGGAUGGACUCGCGGCUUAUCAGCUUGUUGGUGGGGUAGUGGCUUACCAAGGCUUUGACGGGUAGCCGGCCUGAGAGGGUGACCGGCCACAUUGGGACUGAGAUACGGCCCAGACUCCUACGGGAGGCAGCAGUGGGGAAUAUUGCACAAUGGGUGGAAGCCUGAUGCAGCAACGCCGUGUGCGGGAUGACGGCCUUCGGGUUGUAAACCGCUUUCGCUCAUGACGAAGCUUUUUGUGACGGUAGUGGGUAAAGAAGCACCGGCUAACUACGUG